ACCCCUGGACCAACUCCUACCUGAAAAGGCAGGUUUCCACUGCAAGGAUCUGUGGCAUCAACAGCCCCAAAGCCUCAGUAUCUGCAGCCUCACUGCUGCACUGGUGAUUGCCUUCAAUUAGGCACAGCUGGGUUGGCAGGGGCUUACCUGCCUUCAGUUCUCAGCACCUUGCUGCAGAGAGCACCUGUGCUCUCUCACAGAGCUUAGUAGGGAGAAGCAGAAAGUCUGUUUUCUUCCUGUACAAGCUCUUUCUGUUGAGGAAAUCUUUACCACGCGAGGCAAAGGAAGGAGGACCUCUUCAGAAAGGCCAAAGCAGUGUAAGUGAGGACAUCAGUCUUUGGAACUGGUCAGAAGACAUGGACUCAAGUGCCACUACUUAUCACAGAGAUAUGCAGUACCUACCAAGAUCAUGGCCCAAUACUUGGAUUAGCACCAUGAGAUCUGGUUAUGUCUGAAGAACAGCUAGCUGGAGCAGAACAGGAGCAAAACUGAUGGGACAGUAGAGGACAGAGGAAAGCACACUGAAGAGCAAUUUCUCGACUAAAGGUGUGCAUCCACAGGUGCCUCCUGUGUUCAGCCCUGUGUCAUGUGCCAAACCAUGGGCCUCAACUCAGAGCAACAUAAGCAGUUAGUCCCAGGCUGAGUUCACCUGCAUGCCAUUUAGCACAUCUGACAUAUGUGACACAGGGAGAUGGAGAAAGGAAAGUGGCACAGGAAACAUGAAAGCAAUGAAAAAGAUUGGCAGCAAUGGGAGGAAAAAUUUCAAAGCGAGGUCUGCACACAGCGCUACAUGUCAGGAUCAUUUGAGUUCUAAUGAGUCUUUUCUGUGGCUUUGGAUUUAUCACUUAACUUCUGCUGCAGUUUCCCCAUCUACAAAUGGGAUGGUACAUGGUCUGAAUAACAUUUGGAAGACAGAAAUUGUUACAUCGCUGCCAAGCAUUCUUAUUUAUUAUUGAAGUCCAGGAGCAUUGAAAAUCCAGGUCUCGGAGAAUAAGGCAUUUUGUGAAAAAGCAUCUUUCACAUGGCAUUUGGUGGAAGAUAACACUAGUCUUGUAGGGCUAAGGCUGUGCAAAGCGUCAGUCCCUGAUUUGAUUCAAUGGCCGAAUCUCCAAAUCUGAAUCGAAUCAAAGGACCCUUUAAUCUCUCCGAAUCGAAUCGGAACCCUUCAAACUGAUUCAGAGAGAUUCGGAAAGAUUUGGACAUAGACACAGCUUUAAAUGUCUUUAUUCUACAUACUUCUAGGUAACAGGUGGCUCGUGAGCGUUGUGAUG
Molecule: long non-coding RNA, 1271 nt
Organism: Alligator mississippiensis (American alligator)
Lineage: Eukaryota; Metazoa; Chordata; Crocodylia; Alligatoridae
Exons: 5
Source: RefSeq, a predicted model, not a curated record